AAUAGAUACCCGGGUAGUCCACGCCGUAAACGAUGAGUGCUAGGUGUUAGGGGGUCCAACCCUUAGUGCCGAAGUUAACACAUUAAGCACUCCGCCUGGGGAGUACGGUCGCAAGACUGAAACUCAAAGGAAUUGAACGGGGGCCCGCACGAAGCGGUGGAGCAUGUGGUUUAAUUCGAAGCAACGCGAAGAACCUUACCAGGGCUUGACAUCCCUCUGACCGUUCUAGAGAUAGAGCUUCCCUUCGGGGCAGAGGUGACAGGUGGUGCAUGGUUGUCGUCAGCUCGUGUCGUGAGAUGUUGGGUUAAGUCCCGCAACGAGCGCAACCCUUGUCCUUAGUUGCCAGCAUUCAGUUGGGCACUCUAGGGAGACUGCCGGUGACAAACCGGAGGAAGGUGGGGAUGACGUCAAAUCAUCAUGCCCCUUAUGUCCUGGGCUACACACGUGCUACAAUGGCUGGUACAAAGGGUAGCGAAGCAGUGAUGUGGAGCCAAUCCCAAAAAGCCAGUCACAGUUCGGAUUGUAGG
RNAcentral lists this ribosomal RNA (527 nucleotides) under uncultured bacterium. RNAcentral describes it as "bacterial SSU rRNA". It matches the Rfam family "Bacterial small subunit ribosomal RNA", at positions 777 to 1304 of the family's 1533-position model. The record is from RNAcentral.